This 427-nucleotide ribosomal RNA is filed under the name uncultured bacterium. Its description in RNAcentral is "bacterial SSU rRNA". It matches the Rfam family "Bacterial small subunit ribosomal RNA", at positions 355 to 774 of the family's 1533-position model. The record is from RNAcentral.
UAGGGAAUAUUGGACAAUGGGGGCAACCCUGAUCCAGCCAUGCCGCGUGAGUGAAGAAGGCCCUCGGGUUGUAAAGCUCUUUUGUCCGGAAAGAAAAGCAUUCGGUGAAUACCCGGAUGUUCUGACGGUACCGGAAGAAUAAGCACCGGCUAACUUCGUGCCAGCAGCCGCGGUAAUACGAAGGGUGCAAGCGUUACUCGGAAUUAAUGGGCGUAAAGCGUGCGUAGGUGGUUGUUUAAGUCUGAUGUGAAAGCCCUGGGCUCAACCUGUGAAUGGCCUGUGAAACUGGGCAGCUAGAGUGCGGUAGAGGGUAGUGGAAUUCCCGGUGUAGCAGUGAAAUGCGUAGAGAUCGGGAGGAACAUCUGUGGCGAAGGCGACUGCCUGGACCAGCACUGACACUGAGGCACGAAAGCGUGGGGAGCAAACA